Molecule: ribosomal RNA, 258 nt
Filed under: Peribacillus simplex
Lineage: Bacteria; Bacillati; Bacillota; Bacilli; Caryophanales; Bacillaceae
Description: Bacillus simplex partial 16S ribosomal RNA
Rfam family: Bacterial small subunit ribosomal RNA
Source: RNAcentral
ACGCUGGCGGCGUGCCUAAUACAUGCAAGUCGAGCGAAUCGAUGGGAGCUUGCUCCCUGAGAUUAGCGGCGGACGGGUGAGUAACACGUGGGCAACCUGCCUAUAAGACUGGGAUAACUUCGGGAAACCGGAGCUAAUACCGGAUACGUUCUUYUCUYGCAUGAGAGAAGAUKGAAAGACGGUUUACGCUGUCACUUAUAGAUGGKCCCGCGGCGCAUUAGCUAGUUGGUGAGGUAAUGGCUCACCAAGGCGACGAUG